Molecule: ribosomal RNA, 116 nt
Filed under: Enterobacter cloacae
Lineage: Bacteria; Pseudomonadati; Pseudomonadota; Gammaproteobacteria; Enterobacterales; Enterobacteriaceae
Also listed under: 2 other names
Source: RNAcentral
UCUGGCGGCUUUAGCGCGGUGGUCCCACCUGACACCAUGCCGAACUCAGAAGUGAAACGCCGUAGCGCCGAUGGUAGUGUGGGGUCUCCCCAUGUGAGAGUAGGGAACUGCCAGAC